RNAcentral lists this ribosomal RNA (402 nucleotides) under uncultured bacterium. RNAcentral describes it as "bacterial SSU rRNA". It matches the Rfam family "Bacterial small subunit ribosomal RNA", at positions 107 to 507 of the family's 1533-position model. The record is from RNAcentral.
UGCGUAACGCGUAUACAAUCUACCUUUUACAGAGGGAUAGCCAGAGUAAAUUUGGAUUAAUACCUCAUAGUAUAGUACUUUGGCAUCAAGGAACUAUUAAAGUCACAACGGCAAAAGAUGAGCAUGCGUCCCAUUAGCUAGUUGGUAAGGUAACGGCUUACCAAGGCUACGAUGGGUAGGGGUCCUGAGAGGGAGAUCCCCCACACUGGUACUGAGACACGGACCAGACUCCUACGGGAGGCAGCAGUGAGGAAUAUUGGACAAUGGGCGCAAGCCUGAUCCAGCCAUGCCGCGUGCAGGAUGACGGUCCUAUGGAUUGUAAACUGCUUUUAUACAGGAAGAAACACUCCGACGUGUCGGAGCUUGACGGUACUGUAAGAAUAAGGAUCGGCUAACUCCGUG